RNAcentral lists this ribosomal RNA (568 nucleotides) under uncultured bacterium. Its description in RNAcentral is "bacterial SSU rRNA". It matches the Rfam family "Bacterial small subunit ribosomal RNA", at positions 86 to 650 of the family's 1533-position model. The record is from RNAcentral.
GGGUGGCGAGUGGCGGACGGGUGAGUAAUGCAUCGGGACCUACCCAGACGUGGGGGAUAACGUAGGGAAACUUACGCUAAUACCGCAUACGUCCUACGGGAGAAAGCGGGGGAUCUUCGGACCUCGCGCGGUUGGACGGACCGAUGUGCGAUUAGCUAGUUGGUAGGGUAAUGGCCUACCAAGGCGACGAUCGCUAGCUGGUCUGAGAGGAUGAUCCGCCACACUGGAACUGAGACACGGUCCAGACUCCUACGGGAGGCAGCAGUGGGGAAUUUUGGACAAUGGGGGCAACCCUGAUCCAGCCAUUCCGCGUGAGUGAAGAAGGCCUUCGGGUUGUAAAGCUCUUUUAGACGGAAAGAAACGGUUACAGAUAAUACCUGUGACUAAUGACGGUACCGUCAGAAAAAGCACCGGCUAACUACGUGCCAGCAGCCGCGGUAAUACGUAGGGUGCGAGCGUUAAUCGGAAUUACUGGGCGUAAAGCGUGCGCAGGCGGUUUGGUAAGACAGACGUGAAAUCCCCGGGCUUAACCUGGGAACUGCGUUUGUGACUGCCAGACUAGAGUGUA